This 263-nucleotide ribosomal RNA is filed under the name Escherichia coli. RNAcentral's name for it is "partial 23S ribosomal RNA". It matches the Rfam family "Bacterial large subunit ribosomal RNA", at positions 2094 to 2356 of the family's 2925-position model. Lineage: Bacteria; Pseudomonadati; Pseudomonadota; Gammaproteobacteria; Enterobacterales; Enterobacteriaceae. The record is from RNAcentral.
UGAACCUUUACUAUAGCUUGACACUGAACAUUGAGCCUUGAUGUGUAGGAUAGGUGGGAGGCUUUGAAGUGUGGACGCCAGUCUGCAUGGAGCCGACCUUGAAAUACCACCCUUUAAUGUUUGAUGUCCUAACGUGGACCCGUAAUCCGGGUUGCGGACAGUGUCUGGUGGGUAGUUUGACUGGGGCGGUCUCCUCCUAAAGAGUAACGGAGGAGCACGAAGGUUGGCUAAUCCUGGUCGGACAUCAGGAGGUUAGUGCAAUG